This 87-nucleotide transfer RNA is filed under the name Nannocystis sp. RNAcentral's name for it is "tRNA-Ser". It matches the Rfam family "tRNA". Rfam says of the family: Transfer RNA (tRNA) molecules are approximately 80 nucleotides in length. Their secondary structure includes four short double-helical elements and three loops (D, anti-codon, and T loops). Lineage: Bacteria; Pseudomonadati; Myxococcota; Nannocystales; Nannocystaceae. The record is from RNAcentral.
GGAGGAGUGGCCGAGCGGUCUAAGGCAGCGGACUUGAAAUCCGUCGUGGGGGUGACUCCACCGAGGGUUCGAAUCCCUCCUCCUCCG